This 497-nucleotide ribosomal RNA is filed under the name uncultured bacterium. RNAcentral describes it as "partial 16S ribosomal RNA". It matches the Rfam family "Bacterial small subunit ribosomal RNA", at positions 28 to 507 of the family's 1533-position model. The record is from RNAcentral.
GAUGAACGCUGGCGGCGUGCCUAAUACAUGCAAGUCGAGCGAACGGACGAGAAGCUUGCUUCUCUGAUGUUAGCGGCGGACGGGUGAGUAACACGUGGAUAACCUACCUAUAAGACUGGGAUAACUUCGGGAAACCGUAGCUAAUACCGGAUAAUAUUUUGAACCGCAUGGUUCAAAAGUGAAAGACGGUCUUGCUGUCACUUAUAGAUGGAUCCGCGCUGCAUUAGCUAGUUGGUAAGGUAACGGCUUACCAAGGCAACGAUGCAUAGCCGACCUGAGAGGGUGAUCGGCCACACUGGAACUGAGACACGGUACAGAGUCCUACGGAAGGCAGCAGUAGGGAAUCGUCCGCAAUGGGCGAAAGCCUGACGGAGCAACGCCGCGGGAGGGAUGAAGGUCUUCGGAUCGUAAAGCUCUGUUAUUAGGGAAGAACAUAUGUGUAAGUAACUGUGCACAUCUUGACGGUACCUAAUCAGAAAGCCACGGCUAACUACGUG